AGUGAACGCUGGCGGUAGGCCUAACACAUGCAAGUCGAACGGCAGCACAGUAAGAGCUUGCUCUUACGGGUGGCGAGUGGCGGACGGGUGAGGAAUACAUCGGAAUCUACUUUUUCGUGGGGGAUAACGUAGGGAAACUUACGCUAAUACCGCAUACGACCUACGGGUGAAAGCAGGGGAUCUUCGGACCUUGCGCGAUUGAAUGAGCCGAUGUCGGAUUAGCUAGUUGGCGGGGUAAAGGCCCACCAAGGCGACGAUCCGUAGCUGGUCUGAGAGGAUGAUCAGCCACACGGGAACUGAGACACGGUCCAGACUCCUACGGGAGGCAGCAGUGGGGAAUAUUGGACAAUGGGCGCAAGCCUGAUCCAGCCAUACCGCGUGGGUGAAGAAGGCCUUCGGGUUGUAAAGCCCUUUUGUUGGGAAAGAAAAGCAGCAGGUUAAUACCCCGCUGUUCUGACGGUACCCAAAGAAUAAGCACCGGCUAACUUCGU
Molecule: ribosomal RNA, 491 nt
Filed under: uncultured bacterium
Lineage: Bacteria
Description: partial 16S ribosomal RNA
Rfam family: Bacterial small subunit ribosomal RNA
Source: RNAcentral